This 1074-nucleotide long non-coding RNA is filed under the name Drosophila guanche. The record is from RNAcentral. Lineage: Eukaryota; Metazoa; Arthropoda; Insecta; Diptera; Drosophilidae.
UGUCAAUCUAUCUAUUGACAUGGUAAAAUCCCUCCCGGACUUCGACGGGAAACAAGGGUCUCUUGGCGCCAAGCUGCGCUGGCGGCCUACGAAUUUUUCGAGCCUUAUGAGGGCAGCGCUAAGCAUUACAUGGCAACAGGUAUCAUAAGAAAUAAAGUGAGAGGGGCCGCGGACAAUGUUUUAUCAUCUUUUAACACGGUCCUGAAUGUCAGGGCCAUCAUUCACAGGCUAGAUAGCUCAUACUGCGACAAAACGCCGGUGAGCAUAAUACAGCAGAAGUUAGCAACCAUGAGGCAGGGAAACCUUGACCUAACAGAGUAAUAUGACGAGAUUGAGAAACAGCUCUCUCUUAUUACGAAUAAAAACAUUAUGGUUCACACGGCAGUUGCGGCGAGCGUCUUAAAUAACAAAGCCAGGGAGGAUGCCUUAGAGAUAUUUAUUUCAGGCCUGAGAAGGGCUCUUAAAACGCCGGUUUUUUUCCGCAAGACCAAAGGAUCUGCCAACCGCUCUGGCCCUCGCCCAGUCAGCAGAAUCCAGCGAGGAGCGCUGCGUUCUAGCUGAAAACUAUUCCAGGGCUUUGGAAGAGAAAUCGCAUAGGCGGGAUGAGCGCAGACCUCAGGGUACACAACAAGGAAAUGCCAGACAGUAUAGGGUCCAGGACCAAAAUUUCUUCCAAGAACCCUCAUUAUAUCAAGAGUCCGGGCACGUGUAGUUCCCAGCAAAGUGGUUCUAACCAACGCAAAGCACAGAGCCCGGCACCUGAACCCAUGGACGUGGACCUUCCUCGUCAAAGUUCAGACAAACAAAGGCCUACCAAAAGCCAUUGGGGUCGGGGAGGCGAAAUAACAAUUUCCCAAAAAAAACAAGACGCGUCAAUGCGCACCGCUGGGAAUUGGAGGCAAAGAGUGGAACAUAUUGCCACGGGUAACCAACAAGACCAGGGUAGUUACAGUGAGGCCGCUGCAGGGGCAGUCGCCGAAAUAGAUGCGGGUGAGGAGAUCCAUUACGAGAGUGACUCGAUCAAUUUUUUAGGGGAAGGUCCCUGCUGCCUUUCCUUUGGCGGAGAGUAGCGGG